This 253-nucleotide ribosomal RNA is filed under the name uncultured bacterium. RNAcentral's name for it is "partial 16S ribosomal RNA". It matches the Rfam family "Bacterial small subunit ribosomal RNA", at positions 524 to 776 of the family's 1533-position model. The record is from RNAcentral.
UACGUAGGGGGCAAGCGUUGUCCGGAUUUAUUGGGCGUAAAGAGCGUGUAGGCGGCCGCACAGGUCCGUUGUGAAAACUGGAGGCUUAACCUUCAGACGUCGAUGGAAACCGUGCGGCUAGAGUCCGGAAGAGGAGAAUGGAAUUCCUGGUGUAGCGGUGAAAUGCGCAGAUAUUAGGAAGAACACCAGUGGCGAAGGCGGCUCACUGGCCCGGUACUGACGCUCAUGUGCGAAAGCGUGGGGAGCAAACAGG